This 78-nucleotide microRNA precursor is filed under the name Schistosoma mansoni. RNAcentral's name for it is "mir-3492 microRNA precursor family". It matches the Rfam family "mir-3492 microRNA precursor family". Lineage: Eukaryota; Metazoa; Platyhelminthes; Trematoda; Strigeidida; Schistosomatidae. The record is from Rfam by way of RNAcentral.
AGCUUUCAGUAUCCACGCUGAGAUCUCGUUAGUUGUCAGAUAAUAAGAGUUUAUGAGAUCCUCGAUAUAAGUAAAGCA